RNAcentral lists this ribosomal RNA (890 nucleotides) under Xenomyrothecium tongaense. RNAcentral's name for it is "LSU rRNA". It matches the Rfam family "Eukaryotic large subunit ribosomal RNA", at positions 38 to 962 of the family's 3401-position model. The record is from RNAcentral. Lineage: Eukaryota; Fungi; Ascomycota; Sordariomycetes; Hypocreales; Stachybotryaceae.
GCAUAUCAAUAAGCGGAGGAAAAGAAACCAACAGGGAUUGCCUCAGUAACGGCGAGUGAAGCGGCAACAGCUCAAAUUUGAAAUCUGGCCCUAGGCCCGAGUUGUAAUUUGCAGAGGAUGCUUUUGGUGAGGUGCCUUCCGAGUUCCCUGGAACGGGACGCCAUAGAGGGUGAGAGCCCCGUCUGGUCGGACACCGAGCCUCUGUAAAGCUCCUUCGACGAGUCGAGUAGUUUGGGAAUGCUGCUCUAAAUGGGAGGUAUAUGUCUUCUAAAGCUAAAUACCGGCCAGAGACCGAUAGCGCACAAGUAGAGUGAUCGAAAGAUGAAAAGCACUUUGAAAAGAGAGUUAAAUAGCACGUGAAAUUGUUGAAAGGGAAGCGUUUAUGACCAGACUUGGCCCGGUUGAUCAUCCAGCGUUCUCGCUGGUGCACUCUGCCGGUCCAGGCCAGCAUCAGUUCGUCGCGGGGGAUAAAGGUUUCGGGAAUGUGGCUCCUCCGGGAGUGUUAUAGCCCGUUGCGUAAUACCCUGCGGUGGACUGAGGUCCGCGCUCUGCAAGGAUGCUGGCGUAAUGGUCAUCAACGACCCGUCUUGAAACACGGACCAAGGAGUCGUCUUCGUAUGCGAGUGUUCGGGUGUAAAACCCCUACGCGUAAUGAAAGUGAACGCAGGUGAGAGCUUCGGCGCAUCAUCGACCGAUCCUGAUGUUCUCGGAUGGAUUUGAGUAAGAGCAUACGGGGCCGGACCCGAAAGAAGGUGAACUAUGCCUGUAUAGGGUGAAGCCAGAGGAAACUCUGGUGGAGGCUCGCAGCGGUUCUGACGUGCAAAUCGAUCGUCAAAUAUGGGCAUGGGGGGCGAAAGACUAAUCGAACCUUCUAGUAGCUGGUUUCCGCG